This 302-nucleotide ribosomal RNA is filed under the name uncultured bacterium. RNAcentral's name for it is "partial 16S ribosomal RNA". It matches the Rfam family "Bacterial small subunit ribosomal RNA", at positions 508 to 807 of the family's 1533-position model. The record is from RNAcentral.
GCAGUCGCCGCGGGAAUACGGAGGGGGCUAGCGUUGUUCGGAAUUACUGGGCGUAAAGCGCACGUAGGCGGCUUGGUAAGUUAGAGGUGAAAGCCUGGAGCUCAACUCCGGAAUUGCCUUUAAGACUGCCGAGCUAGCAAGUGAGAGAGGUAAGUGGAAUUCCGAGUGUAGAGGUGAAAUUCGUAGAUAUUCGGAAGAACACCAGUGGCGAAGGCGGCUUACUGGCUCAUACUGGACGCUGAGGUGCGAAAGCGUGGGGAGCAAACAGGAUUAGAUACCCCGGUAGUCCCUGUCUCUUAUAC